Molecule: long non-coding RNA, 384 nt
Filed under: Volvox carteri
Lineage: Eukaryota; Viridiplantae; Chlorophyta; Chlorophyceae; Chlamydomonadales; Volvocaceae
Description: long non-coding RNA (VCAR_LNC001944)
Source: RNAcentral
CCAAAGUUGUUCCCUUAAGACUGGCAAUCCUAUCGAAGAGUGAGUUGAUCUGCUACUGCCUGUGCCACCGGACAGGCCCAGAAGUGAUGACAGCGAGGGGAUACACUCCCAGGGAAUGUAUUGGAUCACCUCCACAACCACACACUGCUGGCCGCGACAUGCUGAGAUGGGAACUUCCUAACAUAGGCACCCCUAAAUUGUGGAGCAGAAACCACCAGUCAGGACCCGACUGGUUCUCAAGGCAGAGGGCUGCAAAGAUGGGGGGUUGGGGGCAGGUACUGGCCAGGCGGGAUGGGGAAUAGGGUGACGACGUCAGGAUGGGAUGCGGGGCCCAAGGCAAGGAUAGGCGUGCUACACUGCUUUUAGGAUGGGGGUUGCUGUCGG